CAGAGGGUGCGAGCGUUGUUCGGAAUUACUGGGCGUAAAGCGCGCGCAGGUGGUGUGUUAAGUCCACUCGUGAAGUGCUGGGGCUCAACCCCAUGCGCUGCGGGGGAUACUGGCACGCUGGAGACACGUAGAGGCAAGCGGAAUUCCGGGUGUAGCGGUGGAAUGCGUAGAGAUCCGGAAGAACACCGGAGGCGAAGGCGGCUUGCUGGGCGUGAUCUGACGCUGAGGCGCGAAAGCGUGGGGAGCGAACAGGAUUAGAUACCCUGGUAGUCCACGCCGUAAACGAUGGGCACUAGACGCUGGGGGGAUCGACCCUCUCGGUGUCGAAGCUAACGCGAUAAGUGCCCCGCCUGGGGAGUACGGCCGCAAGGCUG
This 374-nucleotide ribosomal RNA is filed under the name uncultured organism. Its description in RNAcentral is "bacterial SSU rRNA". It matches the Rfam family "Bacterial small subunit ribosomal RNA", at positions 526 to 896 of the family's 1533-position model. The record is from RNAcentral.